This 460-nucleotide ribosomal RNA is filed under the name uncultured bacterium. RNAcentral describes it as "partial 16S ribosomal RNA". It matches the Rfam family "Bacterial small subunit ribosomal RNA", at positions 338 to 795 of the family's 1533-position model. The record is from RNAcentral.
CCUACGUGAGGCAGCAGUGAGGCAUAUUGGUCCAUGGGCGCGAGCCUGAACCAGCCAAGUAGCGUGAAGGAUGACUGCCCUACGGGUUGUAAACUUCUUUUAUCAAGGAAUAAAGUGAGGCACGUGUGCCUUUUUGUAUGUACUUUAUGAAUAAGGAUCGGCUAACUCCGUGCCAGCAGCCGCGGUAAUACGGAGGAUCCGAGCUUUAUCCGGCUUUAUUGGGUUUAAAGGGAGCGGAGAUGGGUUGUUAAGUCAGUUGUGAAAGUUUGCGGCUCAACCGUAAAAUUGCAAUUGAUACUGGCAGUCUUGAGUACAGUUGAGGUAGGCGGAAUGCGUGGUGUAGCGGUGAAAUGCUUAGAUAUCACGAAGAACUCCGAUUGCGAAGGCAGCUUACUAAACUGCCACUGACAUUGAUGCUCGAAAGUGUGGGUAUCAAACAGGAUUAGAUACCCUUGUAGUC